Molecule: long non-coding RNA, 43772 nt
Filed under: Malus domestica (apple)
Lineage: Eukaryota; Viridiplantae; Streptophyta; Magnoliopsida; Rosales; Rosaceae
Description: long non-coding RNA (MDOM_LNC007050)
Source: RNAcentral
UGUGAAAUAAUGGUGAUUUGGCAGCUUGGUAAUCAAUUGGGUAAUUGGGAUUUGAAUGUGAUUGGUAUGGGUGUUAUUUCAGUGGGUACGUAUGUGAUUAUGCUAGAUUGGCAUGCUAGUUGUUAUAUUUGGGGCUUAUAGCUUAAGUGGUUGAGCUCUCUGUGACAUAGGUCUACCUAUCUCCAGUCCUUAGGCUUGCUUUAAAAAAAAAAAAAAAAAACGAGAGAGAAAAAAAUGUAUAAAACUGUACAAAAACUUCAAAUGGAUACUAACUUUUAAGAUAUAUCACUGUUUAGUCUGAUGUACUAAUGUGUAUGUUCAUCCAAAUCUUGAAAUGAACCAUUCCUCUUCAGUUUUCUUUUCACAUUGUUGUUAGUAAAACCUAGUUUGAAUUGUACUUUUAUUUAAUAACUCACUUGGAAAAUCAACACAGCUAAAGAAAGAAAAGCUGAUUUUGGUUAGGAUUUUUUCUCCAUAGAAAAUGUAAAACAGACCCAGAAGUGAUGGUGAUAAUAAUAUUAAAGGUCUGAUUGAGUUUUUUGUAAUAUGCUUAGUUCAGACCCGAUAUACAUCUACUUUAGAAAUGUUAUAUAUAAAGAAAUUAUUUUGUCCGGUGAAUAUUAAUCAUAUUAAAGAUUAUAUUUUGGAAAACCCUAACGUUUCAUUAUCAAUAUCUACAAUCUAUACUAUUGUUAAACAGAAGUCUACCUGUCAACUGUUUUUGCAAAGUUCUAAUUUGAGAAGUUCAUCUUUUAUUGUUGAUCAGACUGUUUAUAGAUUUCUUGCAGUCUAUGUAACGUAUUUUUCAAUUUUGGUUAAGCUUACUGCUUUCCAAAUAUUGGGAAUUUAUGUUCAGGUGGGAACUUUCUGCAUGUUUCCGUAAUUAGAUUUACUUUUGUAAUUUCAGGGGUUACAAGAAAUUCUUCAGAAGAUCAAUCCUAGAAACUUCUGAGUUCCUUAAGGAUGAUUGCCUUGUAUUGAACUGCACUGUUGGAGUUGUCAGAACUCGCCUUGAGCAACCAAAACAAUUUACAAUCACUGUUCCAUCAUCAGACAUGGGACGAGACCUAAAGGACUUUCUAGAUUCUGAAGCUGGUUGUGACAUAGUUUUUCAGGUUGGUGAUGAACAGUUUAAAGCUCACAAGUUGAUACUUGCUGCUCGGUCUCGUGUAUUUAGAGCGCAGUUUUAUGGACUUGUCGGGGAUUGUAACGUAGAUAAAGUAGUUGUGAAGGAUGUUGAGCCCUUCAUCUUCAAGGUAAUGCUUCAUGAUCUUGUUGCUUCCACUUGUUAGCAUCUGAAUAAUAGAGUGCGUUAACAUUUGUGCACUUCUGUGUCUCUCCAUAAUUGACAUUCACCUUUUACACUUUUAUUAGUAGUCAAAAGGUUCUUUUUGAAUUCAGUUAUCAACUGAACAAAUAGGAAAUCUUGGGAUGAUCAAAGUCAAAUGCUAGUAUUCUUUUGUUAGAUUAGGAGCUUUCAAGACAAAGUAAUGAUGAUAAUAAUUACAAGUUCUCAUAUAAUGCAUUGAGUUGUUAAAUUCACUUAAAUAUAAAAACCUAUCUAUAGGUUAAAGAUUAUCUGGGAAAGUGAUAUUUGUUUCUUCUCAUGUUCACGUUAGCACUUAAACUACAGUGCUCGUUGGGGUCUGCUUGGUUGGUGGUAUAAUUAUUGCAGGAAUCCCCUAAUAUGAAUUAGAGAGAGUCAUCUUAAGGUUUGAGUUUUUAUACUUUUGUUGUUCGAUUUUUUACAGAUAUAAUCAAAUGUGAUAAAUCAAAAGUAGCUGAUGGCAUGUCUGGAUUCAGAUUCAACAUGUAAUUAAGGGUACAUGUGGGAGUUGAUUGCUUAGAACUGGCCUCUAAUAAGUGAAAAGUUGAACCAGUUUGAGCUUGUUUCAGUAACAUGUAACUGUGAAUAUUACGCUGGUCCAUUUGUCUUUGUUUCAUUAGUUUAGAUUUAGACUAGAAGUUCGCUCUUUGGCCCGUGGCCAAUAUUCACAGCGGUACCGACCUUUCCUGAUAAGUUUUAUCCAUAUGGAUUUAUUUAUGCAUGCUCUUAUUUUGAACAUGUUUAAUGAAUUUAAUAGAGAUCUUGAUCCUUUUUUCCAGGCAAUGCUUCUCUUUAUUUACACGGACAAACUUCCUGAUACACACGAAGUUAUGGGCUCAUCACCUUUGUGCACAUUCACUGUCAUGGUGCAGCAUCUGUUGGCAGCUGCAGACCUGUAUAAUCUAGAUCGACUGAAAUUGUUGUGUGAAUCAAAGUUAUGUGAAGAAAUCACUACUGAGACAGUGGCGACUACACUUGCGCUUGCUGAACAGCAUCAAUGCCGACAGCUUAAGGAUGUCUGUCUUAAAUUUACAGCAAAUCCGUCGAACUUGGGAGGUGGGUGUUACCCAUAGAUUCUGAUGGUGCAAGCUUUCAGGUUAUAUCAGUUUUGAAUUUUCUCUGUUUCUUAGUGUCUCAAGUAUCCUUGAUGUAUCAUGCAUGCCUGCCUCAUCAUGCAUGUUGCAGAUGUCCUUAUCAAUGUCUAUGGUUUCAGGAUGUCAAUAAGGAUGUUGCCUUAAAAUUUAUGAUAUUUCCAUUUGGGAUGGUGGGACCUCUGGUCAACCUUUCUGUCUGGGUCCUCUGGUCAGCCUAUGGUGACACCUUGAUAUUUGGCUGAUCGAGGGGCAGCAUUCUGAGAAUGGUAUAGUAGGAUUUCUAUUUUGGCUGAUUGUAUAUAGGUUCUUCCCCUAUACAUUCUUUUUCCAUUAAGUUAAAGAAAGGAAAGAAUUACAAGGAAUUUCACUGUUUCUCUCUCUAAUGGUAGAAGAGUGAUUCAAAAAGUUGGACCCUGCCUGAAAUUGUUACAAUUUGCCAUAUUUUAGACCCUGGAAACUGGUUUAAACCAGAAGUGCUGUUAAUUGGUCUUAACAAGGCACUGACCUCUUCCCCCACCCACUGUUUGCGAUAUUUAAACUCGAAUACAGUUAUCAGUUUCUUCUAAGUUUUUAGGGAUUAACCGAUGAAUGCCUUAUGGGUUGGUUAAUAAUUGAAUGACCAUUUUGAAUGGUCUGGAACAUCUCAGAGUUCCUAUAAUUCCAUUAGUGUGCAUUGAUUUAACCGUAGUUCCUUAUCCUCACGUGGUUGAAUGUCAUGGUUAUUCUGCUGAAAAUAUUGGUUGACCUUAUAUUUGUGAUGCAUUUGAUAUGAAUCUGUACGUUUUCCUGUUGCAGCAUGAAUUUAUGUUACUACCCGUGAACAUAAAUUUUCAUGUGUUCUUUCUCAAAGCUUGUAUUUUCCACAUCCGUCCUCCUGCAACAAUCACUUUCAUCCUUUCAUAGAGGAAUUAUUUUUUAUUUUCUUUGCAUGCAACUCUAUUCAUUUGGUAGUGUAUGUUGUAAAACUGAAUAUAGGACUCAUGAAUGCUCGUGAUUUUUGCAGCUGUAAUGCAAUCAGAAGGGUACAAGCAUCUAGAAGAGAGCUGCCCAUCAAUGUUGGUAGAGCUGCUGGAGACAUUUGCAGCGGUGGAUGACAAUUCUAGUCUUCUGUCAAGUCGGAAGAGGAGUGGCAGCAGCAUAUAUGGACUAGAUUUGCCAGCAGAUGGGGGUGGGACUGCAGCAGAAUCAGCAAAUCCCAAUGGUAGGCGCGUGAGGCGGCGGUUUUAGCAUAUGUAGUUUCCUGGAGGCCACAAGCCUGAAAGGAGUGGGAGUCAUGCAUGGCGGGCGUGUAUUUGUCACUUAUCGUCUUGCGUUAUGCCAGGCACUCCUUGUAUAAAGGUUCUGUGGGGGGUCACUGUUGUUGGAUGUAAAACUGAGAAUUGUAUGGUUACAUUGUGUGUUAUGUAGGAAUUAUAGGUAGUCUCUCCUUUCCAAUGGAAUCUGAAAUUUUUACUGAAAAGCAUAGAGUGUUUAGGUGUUGAAAUUUACUUAUUCAGUUUUAGAUUAAUGUUUGCUCAAGUAACAAGCAACUCCGAGGCAAUUUCGGACUCGCGGUCUAAGAUCUUCGGGGUUUUUUAAGAGCAUUUGAUAUGAAAUGUUAAGUUCUUUGAUGUUGUACACUGUUUUGAUUGGGGGGGUUGGGGGAGCUGUUAUACCAACAGAGAGAUGUAUAUGAACUCUUUAAGUUCAAGUUAUACCCUAACGUGCUAAUGAAUUCAACAAAUUGAAUUCGUUUGGGGGUACAUUGUUAGUGUAAAGGUAUAACUUCGAUCGUUAGUUCAAGAGCUUGUAGGUUGAAGUAGUUAAAAGAGUAUUAACCAUUAUGCUUGAGAUUCUAUGUUCGAUUUCUCUUAAAAAUGGCUCCAUGUCAAAGAAAAAACUAUAAAAUGAAGAAUUUACUUACAAUACUUACAUUUAAUUGUUAAAUGAUGUUAAAAAGAUGUAAGUAUUGUAGUCAGUCCCAUUAAUGAGACGAUUGUGCAUACUUCUUUUGGGCUAGACUGCUAGUACGCGGCCACACUCAUGGUCAUGGGCAGAGCCACUAAGGGAUCAGAGUGGUUUUAGGCCUAUCUUGACAACUGUGUCCACUAAGGGACCAUAGUGGUUCUAGGACUAUCUUGACGACUGUGUAAGAAAUUUCUAACUGCCUCAAGCUUGCAGUUGUAGAACCAUGAGACAUGAGGAAGAAGAUGAAUUAUCUUCAUAAAGAAGUUGAGUUGAACGAUGUUGUGUCUUAUAUUUUUCUAAUAGUUUUGUUUGUUUUGUCUUUGUGGUUUUGGGAAACUCAGGGAUGGGGUUUAAAAUCUACUUUAAUAUUAUUUCUAAAGCAACCUAAUCAACUAUUAUUUGCCUUCUUUUUUCUGUCAAAUGAUUCAAAUCAGAUUUCUUUGUAUUUUCUUCCUAUAAUUUCAAUUUUUUUUACUAGUUACGGUGCUCUCUACCCCCCCCCACUUAGUUGUAUUAUACACUUCUUCAUCCUUUUGAUUAAAUUUAAUGGGUCUUUCAGUUUUGUGAAGAUUACUUCAGUUGCUCAUGUUAUGAUUCGGAAUUUUUCUCAAUACAUAUCUGAAAGGCCAUCACACAAAAAGUUCUAGCUCUACCACUGGCCACACUUUUUGAAUAUUGCAAUGAAAAUCAUAAUAUUGUAAUAGAAAUCAAAUUCAUUACCAAAUUUUAGGAGCAUGAUAGAAAGAAAAAAUUACAUAAAAUAUAUUGAUAGUCGUAGAUGCUACUGCUGGUAGGAAGGUAGCUAUUUGAGCUUUUUGUCUCCAAGAGAACUUGAAGCGUCCUGAACUGUGGUAUCAGGCCAGAGAAAGGCACCCAUUGCAAACUCUCGCUUGUGCGCCAAGUCACCGUGCAUGGUCAACCCGUAUUCAGCAAGAAGGCGGUCGAGCUUCCACUCAGCCAUGCCCUCAUAGUCCUUUUUGGAGUAUCUCGGGUGGUGAAGAGGCAUCUUGAAGAAGCCCACGCCGCUGCUCAUUUUUCUGCUUUCCAUCUGAUUUUUCCACUCUUACUAAUCACUAUGCUCGAUCUAGAAAUUCGGUUUUCUGUGUUUUAGUUUGGUGUUGUGAGCUUGAUUUAUAGAGAUUUUAUGAGAGUUAAUCCUUGAAGGCUCCAGAGGCAUGAUUAGGGUUCACAAGAAUCGGUUGGCAUACCUUCUCAUAGCAUGGUAUUUACGUGCAUGUGUGCAUCUGUAGAGAGAGACUCUUAACGAGAACAGCACGACACUAACCCAAUAAGAAGGCUAAACCAAGCAUUGGAGACAAGGAACACAUACAACAUGCAUCUACACACUCAUUAUGUUACUACGGUUCGACUCUUUUUCCAGUUAUGCUGGAUGUAUUCAAACUUCAGACCUCUCUUAAAUUUUGUCAACUGUAUUAAUGAACAAGUCAUAUUAGUAUUGAGUAUGUUUACAAGGAUCAAUUAUACUUGAUAAGUGAGGAUUGGUCAAGAUUCAAUACAACACUACUUUUUUUUUUGUUCGAAUUGUUACACCAUUCGUCUCUUCGUCGAAGUAGCCCUUGAGUUAAUCGAACAUCAACGCACUACUCUAACCGGACCUAAUUCUGUCCGAGCCUUCGACAACUAUGUGAUGUUUUUGUUGUUCUUAAAACGAAAAGAUUCACUAGAACCAAAACCCUAGCUGGUAUUUGGCCCCUACCACAAUCUUCACCGACACAAUCUCAACUCCCAAGUGACCCUAUAAAAUGAUCCCAAACCAAAACUAAAUUAAAGGGUGUGAAUAAGCAACUUGUACGUGUUGCCAUAUGGUGCCUAUAAACGGAAUAGUACGAGUCUGUAUUCGAUAAUGUUAUCCAAACCACUCAAUUCUGUAGGCCGCUGCAUGGGAUCAGAUGAACAUCCACUUGUAGCCACACGAUCAGUUCUGAGACCGACUGAUGAUUAAGUGAGACGCAUAUAAUUGGAGGGCCCGGACUUGGUGCAUUUGGGGUAUGAUGUCGUGCGGGUUCAUGAGGUUCAGACAUGAAACGUGUGUAAUAUAGUUAGAUAUUAGUCUAAAUAUAUGUGGUGUGUUUGCGGAUCCGUAUGCAUGGUCACUUUAAAAAUAGCGACCCACCUCUUGAUUGUGGGGACUUUGGGACCCUUAAACUCAAUCAUCAAACUAUAUUCCUAGCCUCGUGAUUUGCUUCAACUAAAUUGUGUCACUAAGUUAACUAGAUGAUUGAGGGUGAGGGUCUACUCGUAAUUGAUGGAGACAAUGGCGGAGUCAGGAUGACAAAGUAGGAGGUGUGAGAGUGGAUUAACGGGCGAAGUUCGGACUAAAUUAAGGUUAAAAUAGGUAAAUCAAUGCACAAAAUUUUUUAUUGGAUAACACGAAAUUUGAGCUGGACUAGAGCCGAAUCUAACCUUUCACGAAGCUCUGCCUCUAAUUGGACAAAUGUUUAAUCAGACAUCGCUUGCUCUUAUGUAAAAAUUAAAGCUUGUGUGUAGUGUAAAUUGCUCUACUAAUAAAGAUAUACCCAAAUUGAUGAUGCGAUAACUUUAUAACGUAUUAUAAAGUCAAGCAAAUCUUAAUAAAUUUCUUGAAUCCUAAUGUACAAUGUGAAAUUUUUUAAGGACAAUGAAUGACUAACCUAAGUAUUGUUCUGUAAUGGAUACAUGGUAACUGAAGCAAAUUAUUUUUUGGUGCGGAAAUGAUUUUCCUUCUUUUUCCCUUUUUUGCUAUUCGAAUUUAAAGGGGGCCAAAUUGAGGGAAAUAAUGAGGCCAAUUUUACCAUGUAAUAAGAAACUAAAAGAUUUCGUUGAAAUUGUUCAUUUGGAAAUUUCCCGAAAAGCUAAUCGUAGGUUUCUUCUCUUCAUCGGAACAAUAGGGCCGAUAUGCUCAUUACCAAACUUGUUGAAGAGAUAAAAUAUAACUAAGGUAUAUCUUUUUUAUCAGAGGUUGAAUUGAUAAUCAGAAGAAGAAUUAGGCAAAAAAUAUAGGAUACAUUAUGGGAAAAUAAAACUUCCAUCGAAGAGAAGCAGAUGAAAUAUGCAUGAGGCCCAAAUAUGGAGGGAAUUGUGCCGUACACAAGGCUUAGGGAGUAACAAGUGGCUUCUCAAAUCACCACUCAUAAGCGGUGCUAUCAAUACAUUCGUUUUUAUUUUUCAUACAUCCUUCUUAAUUUUCGAUUAUCAAAUUAAAUGAAUUGAAGAUGAUCAAAUAAUAGAAAUUAGCAGAGGAUGUGCAGAAAGUAAAAGAAGUAUGUGGAUGUGGAUAGCAAUACCCUUCGUGGUUUGCAGUCCAUCCAACGUUUCUUCAGGUGUUCAAUUCAGUUCAGGUGUUUUGGGUUGGGCCACUUGUGCAAAAGCAGAGACUGCUCAAUAUCCAAGGGAAGGGACAGUACUAGGGCACACUUAAUUGGCUUCCAAGUUAGGUUUUGUGGUGGACUCUCUCUCUCUGACUUGAUUGGAUUGCAUGUGUACAUAUUUAGGAGAAUUAAAAGGUUAUCCAUACACAUUUAUACCAAAAAUGCUCUAGCAUUAUUAGUGGUGGGGAAAUGUAGAGAAAAACGAAUGGUCUUUCUCAUUCAUGCUUCGCUUAAUUUUAAUAAUCAUCUUUUUUAUGAUCUUGUUUCGGAGUGCAGAAAUUUGAUCAUAGAGAACUGGAGUUGUUAUGUGCAGCAUAUUCAUAGAGGGCAUAAUUUUGCAGUUGAUGGGUUAGCCAAAUUGGGUUUAAAUAGCAAGAUGGAGUUUCAAGAGCUUGCGGAGCCUCAUCUUUGUUUAGUUUAAACUUUUUUCGAUGACUGCUCUAGAGUCGCUACAGCUAGAUUAGUUGUUCCUUAGUUUUUCUUUUUCUUCUUCCAUGUUACCGAGAAAAAGAAAAACAUAUGACUUUAAGCGACAUUGAGUAUUCCAUAGUAAAAGAAAAUUAAAAGUAAAAUGCACAAUAACAAUACUUAUAAUUGUUAGUCUAAAAAUUCGUUGAAUGCAACUUGGUAUGUCGGACCACAGACGCACUGCUUAUUUGGUUCACGCGUGAAAUACUAAAGCUAGAUGCAAACAAUAUCAAAUAGCAGUCAAUUUGCAUGUUUCCAAGCCAUUUGGUCUUGACACUCUCUAAUAAAUUGAUAUUUUAUUUGGCUAUAUAUGCAUAUGGAGUUGGUGGUCCUUCUAUAACAUAUAAAAACACUUGUCAUUUUAUUUGGUUCAUGUACAAAUAUUUUUGUAUUGUUUCUAAAUAAAAAAUUUGCUGAAAAUUAUAGCUUCCAACUUGUAGCAUGAUGUGUAUGCAAGUUGUCCUCUUUACUAAACAAAUAAGGAAAAAUGAGUUAGAGUAAUACUCAACCACGAUAAGUGGUUCAAUAAAAAAAAUGCAUACAACAACUCUUUAAAAGAAAAAAAAGGAGGUUCUAGUUUUGAUACUUAAUAAGUUGGGUUCGAUACUUUGUAACCUUGGAGAGGUCCUAGCCUUCUUCGGUCCGGAUAGGUUUAGAUAACCGUGAGGAGGUCCUAGCCUUCUCCGGCCCCAGAAGUUAAAAUGUUAAAGUUUUGGAACUACCAUGCCAAGUUGUUAGGAUCUUUCUAAUAAUAGAACAAAAUAGAAAAUUAAUAACAUAUAAUUCUAGUAAAAUAUCAUGCCCUUUUGUUUGGACCCAAAAUUACACGAUCGGCCCGAGUAAUCGAGGCCGUUGAGUAAGCGUACUUCCACACCGUCGAUGAAAAAGUGAAGAUAAUUUUAUUAAUAUUAAAAGAUAACAUUAUGAUUUUUAUCAUAAUUAUCCUUUAAUAAUGAUUUAUCUUGACAUUUUCUUAUAAAUAUAAUAUAUCUCCAAGCUAGGAAACAUGCAGCACAAUUCAAGUUGAUGUGGAUGUUUGGCAUAUGGGUAUGUGGUUUGGAUCAAUUUUGGUUAACGGAUAUGCACGGCAUCAGAUAAUGAAGCAUGCAGAACAGGAUGAUAAUUAAAAAUGAAUUUAAUAUUCAUGGGUCAGCAUGCAUGCGACAAUGGGGUAAGAAAAUGGUGACUUUGGGUGAUGAUGAUGAGACAAGCCUAGAAAAGCUAGGUUUUUGGUGGUGAUGAAAGUGAUCAAAUGGGUUUAAAGGUUUCUGAUGGAGUUUUUAUUAUGAGAUCAGAAGUCUAGGUGGUCUAAGCUUCUGAUGUGAUAUGAUUUGCUUAUAUAGGUUUUUUUUUUAAGGGAACUUUAACGAAAAACACCUGGUACUGUUCACUUUAACGAAAAACCACAUUUUUACACUAAAAGUCAAUCAUGGUACUAUUCACUUUACCCUUUAUUUUGUCCUUAUCAUUAAAACUCAAAGUUUUCAAGUCAUUUUCAUUAGUUUUCUUUUUUUUUUAUCUUGUUUGAAAAGUCAAGAACUACGUCUGAAGGAUAUGUUUGGCCUAUGCCACGGAUCAGAUUUUAUUCAACGAGUUAGAGUUGCAGUCGGACUCUACACAAUUAUCUAGCCGUGCCAAGCAAUCAGUCCUAUAAAUACAGAUGCAAUGGUAACGGAAAGGCCCUUUCCAAUUCAACCCACAAACUGCCCUGCGUAAACCGUUGCUCUACGCGAAACCUCUCAACAACCUUGAGAUUUUUAGUUUCUUUUUCGCCAACACAUCUUCAGUUUGGAUAAACAACAUUGUGAAGGCAACCGGCAAACAUCUUCAGUUUGGAUAAACAACACUGCUGCCGUAGAAUCAACCGAUCGCAAAGCACCUUCAGUUUGGAUAAACAGCACUGCAUUAAGGUCGACUGGUUAUCUAUCCAAGUCUCGGUCGAGAAGGGUUUUCGAAUCCUUAUUGGCAAAGGUCAUCUCACGAGUGGCGAAGUGAGGUGUUACGAAUUACUAGACUCGAUGCAUUGAACGCCGAGUGGUUUUACGAUUGGAUACUCACUAGUUGGGUUUAGAGUUUAGCAUUCUGAAGGCCGAACCACAUUUACGAUUAAGACGUACAUUUUCUUUGAAUAUUUGUGUCCAUAUAGUCUGGUGUCGAUUCGACGUGCUUAUAGUCUUACAAAUAUAAUCACCGUGAUUGAAUCCGACACCGACAAUUUAUGAACUUCGUAGAUCUAGUAGCCUUAUCUUCAAGCUCUAGAACCCGAAGGCGACGUGUUCCUUCCUCGGCCGCAAUCGCAAGAUCAAGAAGUCAGCAGCGCAUCCGACGCAACAUCAACAUAUUUUACUCCCCGUCCGAGCUCGGCCGAUGAGUUGGCACGCCCGCAUACAACCGAAGGAUGUAGUUAGCUCAUUAGUUACUCGGCUUGCGCGCCACGUAGGCUUGGUAGUUUUUAGGGUCAACACCUUCUUCAACUAUUCGACUUGCUCCUCGAAAUAAGUAAAUUUCUUUGGUUUAAAGUAAAUAGAAUCACAACACAAAAAUAUGGCUACUAGCACGACAAUCUAACAAUAUUUUUUUCUUACAUAAAAGUAAAAUGUCUCAAAGUUAUUUUAUCAAGAUGACAAGUGUGAUACUUGUGCUAUAUGUACAACUGUUUUUAUUCCUCGCACAUUUUUUUUAAUUUUAAACCGUCGAAUCAAAUAAAUUGAAAAUCAAAGAUAAAAGUGUAUGAGAGGUACCGUAAAAUUGGUUUGUGAAAAACACUAUCCUACUUAAAUAUGACUAAAUAAAAAAUCCUACUACAUUUUUUGAGAUAAAUAUAAAAAACAGAAAUCAUGGAAAGAAAGAAUCGAAAAACAUUUUCGAGGGGUCCUGAUCAAAUAUGCGGACACGUGGUAGCACAUAAUCAUUGGCGGCUCGCAUCAGGUUCCACCACGUGGUGUGAUGCACAGACGGCCACGCCAGCCCCGAACAAUGCUCUCUGUAGUUAAGGGAGGCCGACCUUCCAGAAACUUCCGGGAACUACUGGCUCGCAGCGGCCGAGGCAACUUGGGGUCCAAAACGCGCCACGUGUCCACACAGCCACGCGGGAAUCUGACGUGGCGUCCUCAUUUUCCUGUAUUUGAUACGGCCCCAUUUUUAGCAACCCAGCAAAAUUAGGGCACUUCCCAACAACGUACUCAAAAGUCCACCAAAGCUCAAAAAACUUCAAGAAAAUUCUGAAAUUUCCGAAAACGGAAAAACAAAAAUUCGGAUUCGGAAUCCGUUUCCGUUCCCUGUUUUUCGGAUUUUAUCGAGCGAUGAAUGCGGAGGGAAUUACGGAGGGAGAGGAAGUGAAGAUGGAAGAGGGGAAAGAGAAGGUGGUGUUCAUGUGGGGAUAUCUUCCCGGAGCUCUGCCGCAGAGGUCGCCGCUUUUGUCGCCGACGGUCGUGCGGACGGCCGACGCCGAGUACGCGUGGAAGGACGUAUGCGGUGGCGGGUGCGGCUUCGCCAUGGCCAUUUCUGGUGCUUUCUUCGAACUCUGCCUCGGUUUUUUACUUUCUGAUUGCAGUUUUACCCGCUGUUUGGAUGCCGAGAAAAUGUGGGAAAAUAAAGCUUGAAAUUUUAUGCUUUCUGCUAUUUUUUUGCUAUAUAAAAACAUACAGCAUAGUAAAUUAAGUAAAUUUAGUAUACAGAGUUUUUGUGUCUGAAAAUUUCUGCUGUACUUUAUGUAUCUUCUUCUAUUUUCAUUUCACAUUUCAAAUUGGGGAAGAAUUAUAAUUUUAGUCUAUACACACACACAUAUAUAUAUAUUCUAAAUUGCUCUAAACCACGGCGAGGGAAUGUCAACUUGGUUGCAAGGGCACACUCUAUUAUUUUUCUCCCCAUAUCUUUGUGUAUGUUUUUCUUUGAUGGUUGUGCUGCAAAGUACGUUUGUUUUUGCUUAUGGUUCUUUGUUGGUAUGAUUUCACCCAGAGCCUGGGAAGCUUAUUACAUGGGGCUCAACAGAUGAUCUAGGCCAAAGCUAUGUGACAUCUGGGAUGCACGGGGUACUGUAGCGAUACACGACACUUGGUUUGUUCAUUGAUUUAUUUUGUUAAUUUGUUGAUGGAAUUAUUGACGUUGUUCUCAAUUUUGCUUGUUAAGGAAAACCCGGAGCCUUUUCCUCUUCCGAAUGAAGCUUGUAUAGUACAGGCGGCCGCGGGUUGGGCCCAUUGUGUUGCAGUCACAGGUAAUGCUGAUCUCCCAACUGAAUUUUUCUCAAAGAGAAGAUUUUUAUUCAACGUAGUGAGUAAAGGUUUAGAAACAUCUGAACCCUUUUCUGACAACUAAUUUCUUCUGAAGAUGCCAAGGGGGUUUGGAAUUAAGCGCAUGAAACUAGACCGACUGAAACAAUUAGUUGGUAACUAAUUGAAUUGUGGAAACAAUUUCAGUUUCCGUGUUCCAUCGUUAUUAAGCUAUUAUGAGUAUUGAGGCAGUCAAUACAUUUUGGUUUUAAUGCAGAUAAUGGAGGAGUUUACACAUGGGGAUGGAAUGAGUGUGUUCCAUCUGGGAAGGUCUUUGGGGAGCAAUCUAUGGGUUCAGACGGUGUAAAGGAUGCCUAUGAAAGGCAGAAUUCUUUUAUGACUGAGCAAGGUAAUUUAUGUUUAGCCUCUUUUCAUGACAAUGACAAAAGCUUGUUUUUCGUUCAUUGCUGACUUACUUAUGUUUAUAAUAUAGUUAGCCCUCGCUCUCAAGGCUCACGAUCCACCGCUGCGGCAGUUUCUGCUAGUGAAGAAAGUACAAAGCGAAGAAAAUUGUCAUCAGCAAAACAAGUGGCUGAAAGUUCUUCAUCUGGUGAUGAACCUCCAUCAGCAUUGCCUUGUCUUGUGGCAUUGAACCCGGGAGUUAGAAUAGCCAGUGUUGCUGCUGGAGGGCGCCAUACUCUGGCAUUAUCAGGUAAUUUUACCCUGUUCUGAUUUUUACCUGUAUGCGAUGCAUAGUCUCUUUGCAUUGUGGUCAUGAAAUAAGGUGUGGAAUGAAGUAUUGAGUUAGAAAUUAGAAUAUUUAUAAUAUCAAGCAAGACAUAAUGUAUCCUAAUUUCCCAAAACUUCAGAUAUAGGACAAGUGUGGGGAUGGGGCUAUGGAGGUGAAGGGCAGCUUGGUCUGGGCUCCCGCAUACGUAUGGUGUCCUCUCCUCAUCCUGUACCUUGCAUUGAGUCCUCUUAUGGAAAAGAUAGAUCUGCAGCACUGUCUCGAGGAACCAUGGGUUCAGACGGAUUUGGUGUUAGGGUUCCUGGAAAUUAUGUGAAGGGGAUUGCCAGUGGAGGGCGACAUAGUGUAGUAAUCACAGGUACAAAUUUUAAGUUCUUUCUCCAAUUAUGUAUAAGCAUGGGCAUCCUAGCUGGAUAGUACUGUUACUGCCAACAUCUUUAACUAAUCUUAGAUACUCAAUUGGUAUUUCUAGCCGUUAAUAUGGUAUAUGUAAGAGAGAGUAGAUUAAAUACUGAAGAAUCAGUCACUAGGUCAGGUGAAUGAUCAAUCACUGGAAUCAUGGGAGCCAUUUUCAAAACUUCAUAGUUAUAGCUGUUUGUAAGUGGGGAAUUAGAAUUGACUUAUCACAGGAAUGGCAUUACCGUGGUUAGUGUAUCAUGUGGUACAACUGAGAUGUUAAACGAUUUUAGCACUUUAGCUUUUAUGUUUUAUAUUACAUGUAUGUUUGUGAUUUCUUUCUUGCAUUUCAGAUGCUGGAGCAGUACUUGCUUUUGGUUGGGGGCUGUAUGGACAGGUGAGUUUUCUGCAGUAUUGCACUCUUUGCCUCACACUUUUGCUUCUUCAAGAAACCAUUAGUGCUGUCUGCGUUAAUUUUAUUUCAUCCUUAUGCACAACAUAUUUCUUCAUAGUGAAAAAUCAUUGAUCAUAGUGCUUUUGGCUUGUUGGUGGUAAAACUGUUAUUGAUGACCAAUAUAAAAAUUCACUAUCUAUAGUAUUACUGGAUUAGUACCUAAACAAGAUGUUACCGGUGUACCAAUCAAACCGGAAUGUCUAAUUUUUAAUUGUUGUAUCCAUCCAUAAUUCCGUACACAACAACUAGCAGGUGUUCCCCUAAUCUUAACCAUUCUACGGUAUCAUUACGUAGGUAUAGGAAUGAUGGAGAAAAAGCACUGUAGGUGCUCAAGAUGAGGUUCACUCAAAUGGAUUAAUCUAUUCUAUUCCUUCUCAAUGUUACCAAUAUUGCACUGUUGCUGAACAUUUUGGCUUAUUAAAAUAAGGCAUAAAACUGAUUUCCUUGUCAUUUUUGUUUUAUUCAAGUGUGGGCAAGGAAGCACAGAUGACGAGUUAAGCCCGAUUUGUGUAUCUUCAUUACUGGGUAUCCGGAUAGAGGGUGUUGCGGCAGGACUGUGGCACACUGUCUGCAUUUCAGCUGAUGGCGAUGUUUAUGCAUUUGGCGGGAAUCAGUUUGGACAGCUGGGAACCGGAGCAGAUCAAGCUGAGGUAAACUAUGAAGUUUACCUACAUCCUUCCUUUGUUGGCUAUAGACUUUGACAUCCUCACUAAUUGAGAAGUCACAAGGUUACUAGAAUAGUAUAUGAUUGCUUUGAUUCAUAGGUUUGUCAUUCAGGCAACGACACAACGCUAUGAUAACUUUAAAUUUUCCCUUACUCGGCCAUAAAAUGUUAAUAGUAUAUAGGUAGGGUUAUUAGGGUAACAUAAAUUAAGUAAUCGAUAAUAUUUGCUUGGAUACUUUUGCAGUAUUUUCAAAUCAUCAUUGCCAAUAUUCAUUGAAUGUUGCUUUCAGAGAAACUGUUGAACUGAAUUUUCUUGAAUUGUGGACCAGACAAUACCAAGACUUUUGGAUGCUCCAAUUCUGGAAAAUGAGAAUGCAAAGAUUGUUUCCUGUGGGGCGCGCCAUAGUGCCAUAAUCACGGGUAUGUGUCUACUUUUACAAGCUCCCUUACUAUUUUAUGAUAAGCGACUUUAUCUUUCUUUAAGCUAACUAGUCGUUCUUUUAAGCUAAAGAAGAGAUGGUAUAUAUCCAAUCUUAAUGUGGUUAAGCACAUAUGAUUACCUCGAUUGUAUUUGGUUACAUGUGGUCGUCUGCAUUGGUCCAGAAAACAGGAAGUGAUUUAUGGAGAAAGAAACACAGAAAUUUGGUCAGCUCAUGAGAGCCUUCACAAGUCCUUAGAAAAUUCCAAAUAUUGCGUUUAGGCUAGUAAACAAACGAAACAACAGUGAAAGUGUCUGAAGUUGUAGGUAGUGUGGAUAAAAAUAUCUGUUCAGGUGGAGAUAUCAGUUGCUUGGCUUUACAGAAAUAUCAGUUUAUGUCAUAAUUUUGGUUUAGAAGAUGUUGAAGUUGAACUUGUGUGGAUUAAAACCUAAAGAGAUUCUUAAUUUAUUUGUGUUUCAUGUAGAGGAUGGGAAAGUUUUCGGCUGGGGAUGGAACAAGUAUGGUCAGGUAUUCAGCUGUCAUCAAUAGUUCAUGUCGAUGCUAUGAAUGUAUUUUGCUCUGCAAUGUUCCCAUUUCUCGUAUUGCCUUGCAAGUCUAAUGCUGUGGUUUUCUGUUGCAAAUUCCAGCUUGGCCUGGGUGAUGUGAUCGACCGCAACAUUCCAGCUCAAGUCACGAUCGACGGAUGUGUGCCGAAAAAUGUGGCAUGCGGCUGGUGGCAUACCUUACUGCUUGCUGAACCUACUUGAGUUCUCCUAGUCCAAAGGCCACGGUACAAUUUUGUUAGAUAGCAGUGUUCAUUGAAGUUGGUAACUUAUUGGUUACAUGUACAUACACUAGUUUGGAAUGGAAUUGUAUGUACAUAUACAUAUGUAUUUAUGUAUGUAUAUGCAUGUACCUCAUUCUUUCAUGACGGACGUCUUCCACGUCUAAUACAGUUAGGAUAUCGUAAUAUGUAUCAAUUCGACGAUGUACAACUAAGGUUGUGUAUAAUUGGAAGUGGCUGUGAUGUAACCAAACGCCUGGAAAUGUUAUGUAAUUGUUCUGUAUCGUCUUAGGAAACAUGCAGCUAUGUGGGGAAUGCUAUGGAAAUUUCCUUGAUUCAUCUGUGUAAUGCGAUGUCUGGUGCAAAAUUGCAAAUCAACUUUCUAUGUUUUUUUAUACUCUCAAAGUUCAUUUUUUAGGAGAGAGACUUACAUGCAACUAGAACACUGGUGACGGUAUUCUAAACUAUCAUGCAAUAUUAUGUGUUUUAACUUGCUCACAUGACAUUGCUUUAUUAAUUCGGAACAGGCCUUGAAUGAAAGAAGUCGCGGAGGAGAUUGAGUACAUUGCAAGCGUUGCCACAGCAAAGGGUGGUUGAUGUCUAAUUUUUGUUCCAGUUACCUGUCCUAUUUGGAUGUUGCACGGUUGUGUUUUUGUUUACCAGAUGCAUAUGUAUGUUAUAUAUUACCAGAGUUCUGCUUGUACAGCUUGAGGUGAAGGUUUUGCUUGCUGAAAUAUGAGUUUUUUAUUUUAUUUUUUGAGUUCAGGGUUUAGGAUUUAGGGUUUAGAAACGUGCCUUAAAGAAUUUUUUUGGAAGUAUUGGACAUGCCAAUGGGCAUACCCAAAAAGAGGAGAAAGUAUGUUAUUCACUUACGUCUACAACACUCGUGAUCCAUGUGUACACACUACACAAAGCAUUUGAUAAUUAAUAUGUCAUUGAGAUUCUCUCUGGAUCUCUGUGUCCGGAGCCUAAAGAUUAGGAAAUCCGGACUACUCAUUCAAAUCUUGCGAUUUUCAUUAGCCCAUCUUACACAAACCAAUAGCCCAAACCUUUGUCAACAGCCUGAAUAUCCUGGUCUUUGAGUGCCGGACACAGAGAUUCUCUGAUCCAAAGCAUACUCUCUCUAGAAAGAAGCUCAAUCAUAUGGGUGGCAAGGGAAUUAUGUAGUUGGGCUUUUUGGGUGGACAUAUGGGCUUGAAGAAAGAUUAGCACUAAUUACGUAGAUGGGCCUUCAUGGUCAAAGGGUUUUUGCUUGUUCUCUUUUUUAUUCUGAAAGAUGGCAUUGAUCAAUCACUGGUUUAGUUUCUAAUGAGCGAUUAGCUCGAGCAGAGCUGUUAAUUGGUUGCAAUCAACUCUUUCAAAUGAUUUCUUUGGCUGGUCUUCAGUUUUGAAUCUUUUGAUUCUUUCUUAAGUAGGUAAUGAGUAGAAGUCAGACCUAAAAAUAGGCUUUGAACGGAUCAACUACCUAGAUAUUGUAAACACAUUUAGACCGUUUUUUACACACUUUAAGUUGUGCCUGAAACAAAAGGCAAUAGAACAAUCAAAUCUUAUAACUAAUUCACUCAUAUUAUAAUAUAGGUGAACGAUUAUUUUAUAUUUUAGCAUGUAUUAUUAAUAACACGCGUUAGUGGUGAACUGGUCAUGCUAUGAGGCAGCGUUCUAAGACCACAUUAUAAUUUCUCCAUGAUAAGAAUGCAUAUUCCAUUGUUUUGGUUAAAGAAAGAAUAUACGGAUUAAAUUAAUUUGUUAAUCUUCUUGUUUUACCCUCAAACUUUUUCUGUUCCUGAUUAUUUCUGGCUUAUAGGGCUGGUUUGGUAUUGCUGUGCUUUGAAAAAAAGCUACUGUGAAAAUAAGCGGCUGUGCUGUGAGAAUAAGCGGCUGUGAAAUAAAUCAGCAGAGUGUUUGGUAAACUUUUUUGUAAAAGUGCUUUUGAAAAAAAAAGCAGUCUAAUAGUGGGUCUUUUCAUUAAAGAAGCACCGUAGCUCCGUAUGCUUUGAAAAAAAGCCAGUUUUCCAAAGCUACAAAUACCAGCUUCAGCUUUUUCCUUUGAUUUCAGCUUAUUUUCACAGCAGCUUCCAAAAUAAGCCCUUUUUUUUCAGUUUACCAAACACCUAAAACCCUCACAGCUUUUUUUCAUAGGUGCUUUUUUUAAGCACCUCACUCCCAAACUAGGUCUAAAAAUGGUGGCUUGUCAUGUCUAUAUUUUUUUGAUAUAAUUAAGAAAGUUGGUGACGAUAUGAAGUAAAGCCUAAAGAUUUUGAAUAGUCAAAUAAGACCAAAUUCACACAUUAUUUUUGCUUUUUCCAGCAGACAGAUGAGUUGGGCUGACUUGUCCUUUACUAUUUUAACUCGCAUUGCACUUCUUGAUUGUAUUAAUUAAGGAAAGAUGACAUGCUCCUUAAGGCUUCAUUAGUAAUGGUGGGUAUGAAAUAUCGAAUACGUGAUUUCGGGUGCAGGUCGUUAAGUUACUGGUGUGGUACCAAGAAUAAACAAUCGUGAUUAACGUAAGGUACUGGUGUGGUACCAAGCCAACGGCUUUUUGAUGGUCAAGUUAGUAUAAAGAUCUUCGCACUCCUUUUAUGAUUGUGAAUACUUGUAGCGCAAACCAUUCCCUUGAUGGUUGGAAUAUCUAAGAAUAUAAGAAAUCAAUAUGAACCCUAAUCGGAUUAGGUUUCCAUGUCUUGCAAAACAGACAUGGUCGAUCUCAGCAAGGUCUGCAUACCUUCCUUAUCAUAUCAGAGCUCAACAAGAUGUAGGGCAUUAUUGGUCUAUUUAGUCGGCUUAGUCCAAUUAGAGCCGUUGAGUUUAUAAUCGGAUUUCUAAGGCAUUUAUAAUCCGAUAUGCCUUACUCCUAUCCAAAAAAAAAAUAUGGUUCCACAGAUAACAAAAAGAAAAGCCAAAUUGUUACUUCAAUUGAAGACUUAAAAUCUCAUUCACACAUACAUACCCCUUUUGGUUUGUUUAACAACACUAAAAGGUUAAAGGUUCUAUUUCUAACUUAGGUCGGCCACAAGGCCAAUUACUUAGAAGUGGAGCAUAACCAAAUAUAUAUGCAUGCAUGACUUGCUAUUUUGUCAAAGGGAUCCAACACCAAAAGGUCAACGAAUUGUUUAGGUUGUUUGGAUGAGGACGGCAAACUUAGAACAUGCUGAUAUUGACCAACAUAAGUAAGCCUUAGUUUUGGCGCAAGACAACUAAGUUUCCUUAAUUGUAUGAUUCGGGUGCAUAGAUAAACGCUUGUAUUUGCUUCAGUUACAAACCUCUUAUUAUGAUGUAAUCAAUGUAAAAUUCCUAAAAAACUCGUUUUCUUUUUGUUAAAAGUUUGAACCUUGCUUCGUGGUUGAAUUUCCCAUGUUUGUAUUUGUACUUACUAGUAUUAGAAGAGUGAUGUUAUUCAGACCACAUUUACUGAUUACAUUGUCGAUGACCUUUGAAAUACACGCAAGUCUCACAUAUAUAGAUGAAGUUUUCACCUUUAUUAGAAAACUAAUAAAGUAAUCAGUAAAUGUGGUACAAAUAACAUCAUUCGUAUCAGAAAUAGAGAGAUUUUGUUUUGGUGCAUAUCAAUGAUAAUUUUUUUAAGAGGCAGGCAAAAGUUUAAAGCUGAAAUUAGCUGGAGUUUGUGCUUAUAUACUUUGCCUUUGAUUUGGGGUUAAUUUGAACCUUUACGUGGAUCUUGCAUUAGAAGCAAAACCCAUCAGGUUUGGUAUGGUGAUAUAAGAGGAUACGGUCUAAUAUAUCAAAUAUAAUAGUAAUAGUACAAUUAGUUGAAAAUAUAAAAAAUUAAAAAAAAAUUAACCAAUUAUAUUAUUACUUGAUAUAUCAAAUUAAGUUCUUCAACAGAUUGAAAAAUUGCUCUGGUGUAAGCUGCAUCUUUAUCUGGAAUGUGCUUUUUUCUGCCUUGUUGGCAAAUUUGGCUGCAACUUGCAAGUUGAUAUAAAAAUAAUAGUGAUCGGUGGAUCUCAAAUUAAAUAUGUCACACAUCCUCUAGGAUCCCUACCCCUAUAUAAUAUAUAUAUAUAUAUAUAUAUUCAAUAAUGUUAUUUUUAUCAUAUUUUUGUACCAUAAUUGUAUAUUACUUUAGGUAGUAUUUGAUGUGGACAACUACAUCAUCUAAAUUAAUUAGCAUUUAAUUUCAAAAUAUUAAUCAAUAAUUAAUAAAAAAUUAUUAAUUAAAUGAUGAUUGUGGUAUACGAGGAGUCGCAUCUUCCAUCUAAAAUUAUUUAAGUGUUUUAAUUAAUAAAAGAUUGAAAUUAAAUAAUGUAGCUUGUCUAAGACCUGGUUUGGUACUGAGGUGAUUCUGAAAAAAAAAUGGGUAUAAAAAAAAGCGGUAUCAAAAAAAGCUGGGAGCUUUUUUGUGUUUGGUAAACAUUCAGCUUCAGUUUUUUUUCACAGUUUUGGAUGAAAAAAAGCCAAAAACACAUGGCUACAAAACUUAGCUUUGAAAAACUAGUUUUUUUUUACAUCUGUUUUACAUAAAAGUUUACCAAACACUAUAAUACUGCUUUUUUUUUCAAAAGUACUUUUACAAAAAAGUUUAUCAAACACUCUGCUUAUUCUCACAGCACAGCAGAAGCAGCUAUUUUUCAAAGCACCGCAAUACCAAACCAGCCCUAACUCAUCUACCACGUAAAAUGAUAAAAAAAUAUAAUAUAAAAUUAUGAUAAAAAUAACAUUACUCAUAUAUAUUUUGCCAUUUAUCUUUAGACUACGAACUUUUUAUUUUUCUACGGUUGAGAAAUCAAAGUCAUGGCACAUAGUUUUAGAAGUAGUACUACGAUAUUAACUCGAUCAACUCGAUCAACCAAUUCUUUAUUUGGGUUGUCUGAACCCUAAUUAUUUGCAUUGUAAAAACAUUUAUAAAUGUAGAAUGAUCUCUAAGGCGAAAUGGUAUCUCAAACUUUUAGUCGAAAGAAGUUUACUAAACAAAACAAGUGGUUCAGGGGGAGUUGUGGUCGAAUUUCAGGUCAGGUUUAGUUUUUGAUCUUGAAUUUGAGAUACAAAGUUAACAAAAACACAAGUAAUUCUCCGGUCAAAACUUUAAAAUCACUAUUAUAAAUCUUUCUUGUGUGCAUACAGACCUUUCAAGAACUUACAAACGAUCUUAGUUUUUAAUUGAUUUUUUUUAAGAGAUGGCAUUUGUAGAAGAUUUAUAAUAUAAACAAUUUUGAUCAUAAACAUAAUGUUUUAUGACUUAGCAACGUAUAAUUUUGAGUAAGAAUUUUACUCAUCUUUAAAGUUGUCAAGUAUUAUUUUUAAAAGGCAAACAGAAAGAGAAAUUUAUUUCAACGAUGGUUGUGUUUGAUUACGACACUAUCAUUAUUAUCGUCCUUCCUCGAUGUUGAUUGGCCAUCUCUGCAAUCACAACCAAUAUUAAUGGUAUUUCAAGAAAUAAAAAAAAUCACCACAUAUUGGGAUUACUUGCCAGAACAAUUUAAACUAGGGAGUUUUAACGAAAAGUCCGCGGUACUGUUCAUUUUAACGAAAAAACCACAUUUUUACACUAAAAAGUCAAUCCUGAUACUAUUCACUUUACCCUUUAUUUUGUCCUUAUCGUUAAAACUCAAAGUUUUCAAGUCUUUUUCAUUAGUUUUCCUUUUAAACUAUUCGAGUACAUCUUACGGUAAGUUCUAGAUCUAGUAACACAAUGUCGAAUAUUUCCUUACCAUUACACAUUAUGUAAUUACUGAAGCGUUGUCGUAAUUGUAAUCAAUCCAUUUAUCACCUCCCCCAAUUAGACAUCAUCUCUAUUUUUAAUAGGAAUUUUAACGAAAAACUUCUGCUAUUGUUCAUUUUAACGAAAAACCAUAUUUUUACACUAAAAAGUUAAUGCUGAUACUAUUCAAUUUACCAUUUAUUUUGUCUUUAUCGUUCAAACUCCAAGUUUUCAAGCCUUUUUAAUUAAUUUUUUUUAAUAUAUAUUUUAAGAUGGACCUCCUUUUCUAGGGAAAGGGAUCAUCUCCGGAUCCCUUCCUCCUAAUCCAUCAAAUCAUGGGAUAUGUGCCGUUAAAAUUUAAUCAAACGGCUACAAAUAAGGUGUCACGCCCCGAUCCCGACAUACGUCCAGGAUCGACACGUGACAUCACCAAAUAUCCAUAUAUCUAACAUACCCCGCCUCCGAAAUAUGUACCAAGUACGCUCAAGCCUCAAAUUGAUUAGUGAUUUUUUUCGUGUACUUAUGGCUGCAUCUAACCUUCCGUUAGAUUGCCUACGUAUCCUCAAUAGGGAUCAAGUCAUUCGUAGUUCGUCAUAUAUUACACUCGAACAAUUAUCACAUAAUUCACUUUAUCUUCAAUGUCAUUCCAUAAUCCCGUAAAUUAAACAAUUCAUGAAUUAAAAAUGCAUGAUCUUAGCAUUUAACUACGUUAAUCAAACAAUACGAUAACAUAUCAUUUUAUGAAUCUAAUUAAAGAACUCUAUAUAAUUUCCUCCUUGGAUCAUGAGUAACAACAUGGCAAAACUAAUUUAUAUUCACAAGGUCUAAUGUUGACAAUUCAUAUUCACUCGAAUCUAGGGUUCUAGACUAACCUUUUGGAAAUGUGCAAGAGUAAGGAUUCCGGACCACUCAACAGAACCCAACCACAUCGGGUUCCGGACCACUCAACGAAACCAAAAUAUCAAUCAGUUUCUUGUAAUCUACCUAGACCUGUCGCAUGUAAAAUCAGUGCCUACAUCAUGAAAAUUGUGCACUGGGCAAAUCAGAACUUGGAUAAGUUGCGAAACUCGGGUGAGUGACAAUAAUACAAAUAUGUGAUAUUCAAUAAAAACAUACCAUCGAUCACAAUCUAUAAACAUCAAGUAAAGAAUUAUGCUUUAUGAAAUCAUAAUCAAGUUGCUGAAAACUCUGAAGGAGUCACCCAAACAUCCAAUGACUUUUCUAAUUCAAACCACAAGAUUCUCAAAAAAACAUCGUUCAUAUGUACAUUAAAAACUAGGGCUAUAGGGACGCAGUUCGGCCGAAGCCUACAUAAGUAACCAAACAGGAAGUGGCCCCCUAAAGCGGAUUAACCAAGCAGAGCCACCCCUGAGAAAGUAACCAAGUAGGUAGUGACCCCCAAUGCGGGCAGAGUCACUCCUACAGCUGUUAGGAAGUGAUCACCCAAUGCGGAUUAACCAAGCAUGAUCACUCUUAAGCAUACAUGGCCAUAAGGAUCGCCUAACGCAGAUUAACCAAGCACGAUCCACAUAUAGUAUGGUCCCCCAAUGCGGAUUAACCAAGCAUGACCAUUAGUGACCCCUUAAUGUGGAUUAACCAAGCAGGGUCAAGAUAAUUAGGUAGGUAGUGACCCCACAACGCGGAUUAAUCAAGCAGAGUCACACCUACAGAAUUGUUAGGCAGUGAUCACCUAACGCGGAUUAACCAAGCAUGAUCACCCCUCAGUAUAAAUGGCCAUAAGGAUCGCCCAACGCGGAUUAACCAAGCGCGAUCUAUAUAUAGUAUGGUCCCCUAAUGCAGAUUAACUAAGUAGGACCACUAGUGACCCCACAAUGUAGAUUAACUAAGCAGGAUCAUAAUCCCUUACUAGCCCUCAAUUUACAAAACAUUUCAAUAUGCAAUUCGAAUCACUUUUCCACAAAUAUUACCAAUCCAUGAAUCAAAUCACAUUUAAUAAAAAUAGAUUGAUGGCCAAUUAUAAAAGAAUCACAUUUUAACAGAAAACACAUUUAUAAAACCAUGUCAUAUCCACAAAUGGUAUUAAUAUAAAGAAUCGGGUAAUCACCAUAUCACAUAUAUUAAAGUCACUCACUGAGACAAGUCCGUAAAGCUUCACCGAAUCUCUAGUAAUACUAAUUUUAGUAAUUCAAAUGGUUCAAGACCUGUUGACCAAACAUCAAUAGCGGGGUCCACACCCUUACAAUUUAAUUCGGAAGAUACGCACAUCGUAUUUCAUAUCUGUAACUUCCUAAGGUCCACAUUAUGCUCAUAGAACAACAUACUAAAUUCUCAUCAAAAUCCGACGGCCGGAUCUCUGCCAAUUUCUAGAAUUAGGUAGCGGUCAACAAUUAGUUUCACAAACUUAGAAAUUCAAUGAGAGGAACAAGUUUCAUACCUGUGGCCAAGUCCAAUUUGAUCGGGAAACACCUCAAAUUGCCCACGAACCGCCGGAAACCCUUGAUUUGGGUGACUUCGAUCCGUCACCUCUGAUGCUCUGCCGCCUCCAAUGUUGUUUGGGCUUUGUUCCAUUGGUGGUGAUAAUUGGAGGAAAACGUUUCACAUUUGGUGGAUCUCGGCAUGGUUCCUCGCUGCACCCAAGGUGUAAAACCCUUGUGAAAUCACAAUCAAUUUUCGUCGAUUUUAGAUAGAAUUGGAUGUUGUGAUGUGGUGAUGAAGUUUGGUGGUGAUGAGAGGUUGAAGAAAGCCAGAAAAUUGGAUGGAAUAGCCGUCAGAAUAGUCACAAAAGGCGGGUCAGGUCAUGGGUACACGAGUCACAGAAGGGGGAAAUCAUGUUGGGUGUUUCUCACCCCCAUCUCUUUUCUUUCCUUACUCUCCCCUCCCAUUGGUUCACAUCCUCCCCUUUUCUUCUCUGAUUAGCCGCCCCUUACCCUCAUUUCUCUUCUUUUCUUUCAAUCCAGCUAUCCAUCUCUUUCCUUUCUCCAUCACAACCAUCCACAUGGCUUUCUAGAUUUUGUGGAGCAUUCCAUAUUAUGGUCAAAUGACAAUUUCAUCCAUAACUUUGCUCGUUCAUAACUUAUUCAUUAUAACUCUAUUUCACGAACAGUUUGCGCCCACGCGUUCAUGAGAUCGAGCUCUAAUUGAAAAUAUAAAUUGUGACCUCAAGACGUCUAUGGAUUUUAAAUAAUUAAUUUCCAAACUUCAACUUCGUAACUAGUUUAAUUGAAAUUUAAAUUCAAAUAAAUAAAUCUAAAUUCUCGAAAAAUAAUAUAAAAUCUCAAUAAUUCAAAUACGUAGAUUAUAACAGUGAAGUCUAGGAACGAGAUUUCACACAGGGGUAUACUUUAAAAGUUAUAAUAAUUUCAGCUAUUGGAUCAAAUUUCAACGGUACAGAUCCUGUAAUUUGUGGAUUAGGAGGAAGGGAUCCGGGGAGGAUCCCUGUAACAUCCCACAUCGCCCAGGGGAGUGGAUCCUGUAAACCUUAUAUGUAUAUUCCUAUCUCUACCUAGCAUGAGGCAUUUUGGGAGCUCACUGGCUUCGGGUUCCAUCGGAACUCCGAAGUUAAGCAAGAUCGCAGCUAGGGCAAUCCCUAGAUAGGUGACCCAUUGGGAAGUUCUCGUGUGAGUUCCCAGAAACAAAACCGUGAGGGCGUGGUCGGGGCCCAAAGCGGAUAAUAUCAUGCUACAAUGGAGCCCGAGAUGUGGUGGGGGCCUGGGCCGGGAUGUGGUGGGGGCCCGGGCCGGGAUGUGACAAUUUGGUAUCAGAACCAAUCCCUGACCGGAAGUGUACCAACGAGGACAUCGAGCCCCUAAAGGGGGUGGAUUGUAACAUCCCACAUCGCCAAGGGGAGUGGAUCACGUAAGCCUUAUAUGUAUAUUCUCAUUUCUACCUAGCAUGAGGCAUUUUAGGAGCUCACUGGCUUCAGGUUCCAUCGGAACUCCGAAGUUAAGUGAGAUAGCAAUGAAAGCAAUCCCAGGAUGGGUGAUCCACUGGGAAGUUCUUGUGUGAGUUCCCAGAAACAAAAUCGUGAGGGCAUUGUUGGGGCCCAAAGCGGACAAUAUCGUUCUAUGGUGAAGUCGAGCCCGGGAUAUGGUGAGGGCCUGGGCCGGGAUGUGACAAGUUUAAUUAAAAUCUAAAUUCAAAUAAAUUAAUAUAAAUUCUUGAAAAUAACAUAAAAUUUCAAUAAUAACAAUACGUAGAUUAUAACAACACCUUCGGUCACCAGCACGAUUUUUACACGGUUUUUUAGGCUUAAAAAUCACCAAAUUUGGGUGGAGAUGGUAGAUGGGAGGAUGUGGAAGAAGUUGUAGGUGUUGGAUGGUGGUCAUUCGAUGGAAAAAAUGGUGGAAUCGCUGGUAAUAGAAUCGGGUUGGUGUGCGGGGGUCUUUGCCCGAUUGAAAAGCUGGACUGGAAAAGAUUGUAAUAUACCUGACCAAUACACAUCACACAUAUUUAUUCCUUCAAUAAUUCAUUCUUGCAACCCACAUAUGGAGUUUCUCCCUGAAAACAUUGAGUCAUUGUGCCCACUCAUCCAUUGCUCACAUUCCACAAGUCAUUUUACCCAUUCCAACAUUCCUCCACAUUCCACGGCCUUUUUGUCCGAAUCAACAUCCACGGCAUUUUCCGCCUUAUUCAACAUUUCUCAAUUGCACAAGUAUAAUACGACUUUUCUAUCUACUUAUCACAAUUGCACAAUCAUCUUAACAUCAAAAUUUUCAUAUCGUAUAACAUAAUAUCAACCCAAUUUAAGAUUAAUUUGAGACUUUAAUCAAAUGCUCAUCUUUGAAGCUAUAACAUGAAAUAUGAUAUUUUAAAAUUUUUCUUCUCCCAUUCAAUCAUACAAACACAACCAUUUCACUUAUGGGGAUACAAGAAAAAGGUGAUUAAAUUAUUGUUUUUCCAAUGAUGAUUAUGACUAGAAACUUUAAAAUCUUAUGGCCAUGAUAAUUAUGGUUGGAAAUUUGAGUAUUUAUGAAAGUCACAAUGAUUUUACGGAUGAGAAUGAAAUCACAACCCGAGGCUAUGAUUGGUUUAAUAUGUAGUGGUGAGUAAUUGUGAUUCGAAAUUCCAAUUUGGCCAGAAUUUCUGAUGUUUGAUUUGCCAAUUCUGACAGUUUGGUUUGAAAUUUUGAUAUUUAUUUGGCCAAUGAGGGUUCCGGCUGGAAAUUAUGAUAUUGUUUCACUAAUGAUAAAUGCUUGUGGUUAUAAUGGUAGUAUUUAUCUAGCUAAUGGUAGAUGUGGUUUGAUAAUCUGGUAUUUAUUUAGCCAAUGAGGAUUGCGGCUUGAUGUUUGAUAAUUAUUUUGCAAUGUAUAUGGCUAGAAAUUCUUAUAAUUAUUCUACCAAUAAAUGUUGCUGGGAAUCUAAGUAUAUGGGUGAGAAUCACGAUGAUUUUCGUUGAUUUAUUUAUUUUGAGCUUGAAUAAACUCAUAGGCUAAGGUUAUGACUUUAUUCACUAUAAAUUGGAUGAUGGGGAAAGUUUGUAAUUGCAAAUUUGGUUGGUUUGGUUGCUAGAAUCAUGAGUAUCUUGAAGAAUUCUUGUUAGUAGUGGAAUUCUUUGUGAUUGUGCAAGAUUGGUGAUGAAGUCAUGCUGAGACGAUGAUAAUUGUAUUUGUGAGUUGUGAUUCAAUGUUGUCGAGCUUGAUGUUAACUAAAUUCAAUUAGAAUUAAAGAGUGAAUGCCAUUUCGAUGUUGUUAUUCAAUUGAUUUGUGGCAUUGGUGGAUAUGGGAUUGACACUGAAAUUUCGAGGACGAAAUUUUUUUUAGGGGGAAAGAAUGUGAAAUCCUGUUCCCGGAUUUCACUGUUAUAAUCUAUGUAUUGUUAUUAUUGAAAUUUUAUGUUAUUUUGGGAAUUUAUAUUAAUUCAUUUGAAUUUAGAUUUUAAUUAAACUAGUUACGAAGUUUGAAGUUUGGAAAUUUAUUAUUUAAAAUCCGUAGAUCUUUUGAGGUCACAAUUUAUAUUUCUGAAUAGAGCUCGAUCUCACGAACGCAUAGGCGAAAGCCGUUUACGCGUCCGAAGUAUAACGGUACAGUUACGGACACCUGAAGUUGUAUUUCUAAACUAUAGAUUUUAAUUUUCUUUAAAACUCUCGUGGAAAUGGUGACCAAUGAAAGGGAGGACCAGCCCAAUUAUGUGGAAGUGAAAGGGGGCCAAUUAGAAGUAAGGAAAAAAGCAAGGACCAAUGGGGGGAAAAUGAUUUUUUUUCCUUCCAUUUUUCGUGGCCCCUUUACCUGCGCCAACCCGGAGUGGUUUUCAGCCACUUCCAUCAUUUUUUUCAGGCGAAAUUCAACUAUCUCUGACCUGCAACCUUUUAUACCAUCUCCCAUCUUCCAUUCCCACCCAAAAUUGAGGGUUUUUAGGUCUAAAACCGUGUGGGUUACCCAAGGAGUUUUGACGGCGAUUCCGCCGUUCCAGUGAGUCUCACCACCCACCACCACCCUUAAUCAACUCCCCUUGGAUCCAAGAACAAGACCCAAUCAGUUGUAGGGGCGUUGGAACAUCGAGGAAGUCAAAUCGAAGCACACUCAUUUUAGGGUUUCCGAUGGUUAGAGUGAAAUCCAAAUUGGACUUGACCACAUGUAGGAAACUUGUUCCACUCAUUGAGAUCUACAUACCUGUAAAAUUUGGUAAUUUUUUGAAUUAGUUGAAUUUUACGGCGAGUCGGGGCAGUCGACCGCCACCCACGGCGGCGCAUGCGACGGUGGGUGGCCAGGCCGACGAUGUCUUUCUAAGUCCAAAUAGUUGCCCUGAAUUCAUAAUUGAUAUAUGUAUGAAGUGGUUUGAUUGUUUGAACUUAGUUUCAUUAUGAUACAUCACUUGAUCAAAAUUUGAAUUGAUGAUCCGACCAUUAGAUCGUCACCAAACUUUAAUGCAUUAUAGAACGUAAUAUUUGAGGAUAGCUGGAAUUGAUGGAUAGGGAAUCCAACGUACGGAUCUUCCUGAUUUGGAUUUCUAAGUUGGUAAAAUUAAUUGUUAACUGCCACCUAUUUCUAGCAAUUGGCGGAGAUCCGACCAUCAGAUCGCAAUGAGAAUUUAGUAUGUGGUUCUAUGAGUAUAAUGUGGACUUUGGGAAGUUAUGGAUCAGAAAUCUGAUGAACGGAUCUUUCGAAUCGAAUUACGUAGGGUUGUAGACCCUAUCGUUGAUCGAGAGUUGACUUUUGGUCAACAUGUCUCGAAACGUUUUAAAUACUAAAUCUAGUACCAUGGAAUAUUAAGUGAAGUCUAGUGGGACCACUUUGGUCUGGGAGUGACUUGAAUAUAUGUGAUAUAGUUAUUGCUUUGAUUUCUUAUAUUAAUAUCAUAUGUGAAUAUGAUUUGGGUUAUAAAUGAAAUUUCUAUUGAAAUGUGAAUAUUAUAUAUAUAUGCCAUAGAUCUAUGGUUAUUAAAUGUGAAUUCUAUUGAAGUGUUAUUUUUAUUUCUGGCUAUUGAUCUAUUUUUAUUAAGUAUGAUUUGACUUGUGCAUUGGAAAUAUGAUUUGUAUUGUAUGAUUGGAUUGAUGUGAUGAAAUGUGAGGGAUAGUAGUGGACUGUUAACCCAUUGUCAUGGGGUUUGUUGCUUCGAAACAUGUUUCACCCCUUGUGUCAUUAUUUCAUUUCUCGUUUCGUUGAGUCUUUGUAACUUGAUUAACCUAACUUGAUUCAUGUCCUGUUUCAUUGAUUGGUGUUGUACAUUGUACUUUACGAUUCCGUUGAGUGAUGGUCCGGAAUCGUAUCCGUUUAGAUUCCGUUGAGUGAUGGUCCGGAAUCCCUUCUACUUCGUGAUUCCGUUGAGUGAUGGUCCAGAAUCGUAUCCUGGUUUGGAUUCCAUUGAGUAAUGGUCCGGAAUCCCUUUUACUCCGCGAUUCCGUUGAGUGAUGGUCUGGAAUCAUAUUCUGGUUUGGAUUCCGUUGAGUGAUGGUUUGAAAUACCCUUUGGUGUCUUGGUUUUGUUGGGUGGUCCGAAAUCCCCUUUGUCUAAAGAUGUAGGCUUCGGCCGAACUGUGUUGCUCUAGCCCUGCAUUUCAAUGUGUUGUACGUGUUAUUAUUUGGUGUGAUUAUUGGAUAAUGUUGGAUGUAAUUGUUAUGAUUAUGAUAGACCGUUGACCAUUAUGGCUAUGGAUUAUUAUUGCGCUUCGUCGAUUGCUCUUUGAGAUGUUGCUCGUGCUGAAUUGUGUAUUAUGUUGAGACAUGGCGGUUUAUGUGAGGAAUAUUCGAGUGUAGUGAAAAGGGUGAACUACGAAUGACUUGAUCCCUAUUGAGGGUACGUAGGCAGUCUAACAAGGAGGUUAGAUGCAGCCAUAAAGUAUACAAAAAUUACAACGCAAUUCAAGUAUUGAAUUAGGCUUGUACAUAUCUCGGAGGCGAGGUAUGUUAGAGAAACGGGAAUUUGGUUAUGUCACGUGUCGAUCAUGGACGUAUGUCGGGAUCAAGACGUGACAAUCCCCUUCCCUUUUCUAGAAUCUAUAAUUUUGCCCAAAACAAAAUAAUCAUACUUUGAAUCACAUUAUAUCUAGCCUAUUGUAAGACUUAACCUACUUUCCAGUAUAGAUAAUAUGAUUGUUAAAAAAACAAAUUAAAAAAAAAAUCGUACUUGGAUACAUUACCGUACAAAUUUAUCCACAAACAUAAACAGACGAAAGUACGAAAUUACCCCGAAAUUACGCGUAAACUAUUAGCGCCAAGCGGACGUGACCCCGAAAUUAGAAGAAAAUUAGAAUUAAUAUUUUAAUUUGAGAUCCGCCAGAAAACCACGUUCGUUAAUAUCAAAUCACCCUCCCCUCCGCGCGUAUAAAUACAAAUCCGAUGCGGAAGCAUUCUCCUCAACCAAACGUCAUUGCACAGCUCGGACCCUGACGGAUGAACCGUUAGGGUGGAAAGGCAAUACCACUAGCGCCAACUCGCUCCCGGCGACCCGGUCCCCACACUCGUCAGAGUCCCAACCCGAGCUACUGCGGCGACUCCCUUCGCGUUUUGAUCUGUUGAGAUCCGAGGUAAUUCAGUGCUCUUCGGGCGUCGAUUCGAUCGGACUUUUUGGCAAUGUGUUUGGUGUCGGUUGGAUUGAAUUGUUCAAAAAGUUGAUUGAUUUGAUUGCUUCGAUUCGCAUGUUUUGGUGAAUUUGCUUGGGAUUUUGAGCUUUGAAUUCGUCGUCGAAGUAUUUUUUAGAUUAACUUCAUGUAUAAUGACAGAUCCGGUGGAGUUUCUGUGAUUAAUUGCGUUGGUAAUGUCAGCACAGUUUCUAUGAUUUCUGUUGAAUUUUUCCGGUUAAAGUUGCUCGAGCCAUGUAAUUUUGCGUAAUUUAUUUGGUUAAUGGGGAAUUAUUUAGGUAGAAAGUAUGAUUGUGUCUUUCUUUAGAUUUUGUUGGUGUGAAAUUUCUGCUUUUUAGCUUCUUUGGUAGCUGAAGUUUCGAGCUUUUCGGAUGUCGGUGAACGGGGAAUGUGAAUUUCCGUGAUGAUUAAUGUGUUUUUUUUGGGGGUGGGGGGGGGGGGGUAAAGAAAUGAUCUGAACUAAGUUGAAGUUGCCUGUAAGAUUUUCUGACUGUACUAAUAUCCCAGGGAAAGCAGAGGGCAUAUCAAAAUGAAGGCACUUAUUCUUGUUGGAGGCUUCGGGACGCGUCUGCGGCCGUUGACACUCAGUUUUCCCAAGCCACUUGUUGAGUUUGCUAACAAACCCAUGAUCCUGCAUCAGGUACAAUUGCUCUAGCAAUUGAGAAAUGUUUUUUUUUUUUAAUCCGUUUGUUGGAGUGGAUUUCCUUUUGUUGAUCUUGAGCCUAAACAUUAUUACUUUUUGUAUAAGAGGAAUUGUCAAAAACCUCAAAAUAUAGUGCUUACCUCAAAUCCUCACUCCGUGUUUUAUGUACGCAUGCUUUUGUGAUCGUAUAAAUCACGAGUUGAUACAAUUUUGUUGUUUUUUGCUUUCAGAUAGAGGCUCUUAAGGCAAUUGGCGUGACAGAAGUGGUUCUGGCUAUCAAUUACCAACCAGAGGUAAGCGAGGCCAUCGUUUUGCGAAAAGUUUGAUUUUAUACUUGACGAGAUUCAUGCUACCGAAGGUUCUUUGAAUGCUUAUGCUCUUUAUCAUUUCUGCAGGUGAUGAUGACUUUCUUGAAGGAGUUUGAGGAAAAGGUUGGCAUCAAGAUCACAUGCUCACAAGAGACUGAGCCCCUUGGCACCGCUGGACCUCUGGCUCUUGCUAGGGACAAACUGAUUGACGAUUCUGGCGAGCCCUUCUUUGUCCUUAACAGUGAUGUUAUCAGCGAGUACCCGUUUAAGGAAAUGAUUGAAUUUCAUAAAGCCCAUGGAGGAGAAGCUUCCAUUAUGGUGACCAAGGUAACAUUGAGAUGAUAUUUUGCUUAUACUUUGCACUCAGCUUCCUUCCAACCUUGAUAUCACUGAAAAUAACUUCUUCUUUUCAUAUAGGUGGAUGAGCCGUCGAAAUAUGGAGUGGUGGUUAUGGAAGAGUCUACAGGGAAAGUUCAAAAAUUUGUAGAGAAACCCAAGUUGUUUGUUGGUAACAAAAUCAAUGCUGGAAUUUACCUGCUGAACCCCUCCGUUCUUGAUAAAAUUGAACUCAGACCAACCUCAAUUGAGAAAGAAGUAUUCCCAAAAAUCGCAGCAGAGAAUAAGCUCUUCGCAAUGGUCCUUCCAGGGUUUUGGAUGGACAUUGGGCAACCAAGGGAUUAUAUUACCGGCCUGAGACUAUACCUGGAUUCGUUGAGGAAGAACUCUUCAUCCAAGUUGGCCAGAGGCGCCCACAUUGUGGGAAAUGUUCUGGUGGAUGAGACAGCCAAAAUUGGCGAGGGAUGCCUGAUUGGACCGGAUGUUGCAAUCGGUCCAGGCUGCAUUAUCGAGUCGGGAGUCAGGCUCUCUCGCUGUACAGUAAUGCGUGGAGUCCGCAUCAAGAACCAUGCAUGCAUUUCCAGCAGUAUAAUCGGAUGGCACUCCACCGUUGGACAAUGGGCUCGUGUAGAGAACAUGACCAUCCUCGGAGAAGAUGUGCACGUGAGCGAUGAGAUUUACAGCAACGGAGGUGUGGUUUUGCCCCACAAAGAAAUCAAGUCGAGCAUUUUGAAGCCGGAAAUUGUAAUGUAGGGUGUACGCUGUCCCUUAAGUUCAAAUUACAGAACAGAAUUUGGUGUCAAGAGAUGUAGUAAGUAAGUUAUGUUGUUUGAUAUGUAUUUGUUGUUUUAAUACUUCCCGUUUAUACAGUGCAGGGGCUCUGCUGCUCCAUUUGUGAUGUUUUUGGAAGUUUUGGGGCCGUUGGUUGUCCUCUGUGACUUGGAAUUGUUGUGAAUUGUGUAUUGUUUUUUGGUGUAUAUAGGAAUAAAUUUAUCAGUCACUCUCUGGCUGUGUAACUUAUUAAUCAAGCUUGAAUUCUUUUUUAUUAAUAUUAAUAAUAUUUUGUUUUUUGCAUUUUUUAAUUAAGUGGGUACUUUGCUUCCAGUGUUGGUAUCUCUACUAGAUCUGGGAAGAUUCCAUGACCAUUGAUCAAAAGUGUCGGCAGCAUAGAUUAUGUGAAUUAUGUCAGCGGGUCAAAGAAAUAUGCAGCGUGCCCGUCUCUUAGUUUGAAUCGUUUUUCCGGCGAUUAGAGUAGUUUUAUUCUGAUUCUUGUCAGAAUACAAAGACAAUGCAUUUCAUGGGUGUAUCCCAAACGUUUCUUUGUUUGUCACAAAUGAUACCAAGAGAGGGGAAACUUAAACACAAGAUUUCGAGUGCAUGAGUCAGUGUUCUCAGCUCGUUCCUUUGCGGAUUUGAAUAUUUUGCAUUUUCUGGUCCAAUCAAAAUGAGAAUGUGAAAUCAUGGACCCGUUGUCAUCCAUCCCUAUUUCCUGCCACACAAGGCAAAUCCCUAUGACGGGCUUCGUCCACAACAGCAUAUUAUUCUACUAAGUGAGUGAGACUGAGAGGGACAUAAGCAGAAAUAUCAGCGAUUUGAAGAACCAAACAAAAAGGUCUUAGGUGUUGUAAUUGUUGUCACACAUUUAUGCGUGACGUCAGUGAGCACCUCAGCCAUCUUUUAUCUCCCAGAAGUUGACACUUUGACGGACAAUGAAGGCUUUGAUUAUGUAUCACUAGUUAGUGAUAAUUAAAGACUUAUUUGAAAGUUUUUUUUUUUUUUUUUGGUCGAAAGAGUUGGAGACUCGGAAUUCAUUAAAGAUAAAACAUAUUACAAAACCAACAACAGAUAAAAACAGUGGGAGGCCCAACCCACAUCGACAAAAGCCUAGAACAGAAAACAAACGACAAAAAGAAAACCUAAUCUCUAUCAAGGAGGAGCAGCCUGCCGCCACCAAAUUCUCGCCAGCAACCACCAGAGUGACCGCCAUGUAGGAACCAAACAGAAGGUGGAUCCGCAAAGAGUCCAGCACAGCCAAAGUAACCCAUAGAACCAAGUAGACACAAUACCAGGGGGGGAGGAGGGCCAAGGGGAUGUGUAAAACACCCUUACUACGAUGGAGGCCGCAUAACACUUCGCCCAAAUUUUCCGGCAUGCCGGUAAAACAAAGGGCAAUGGGGUAGAGAUCUACAUCCCAAAUCGAGUCCAAAACUCGAAGAUUUGAUUUUUGGUAGGUAUAAUGGGGAAGUGAUGGAAAGGUUAAAGGUGGAGGUGCCAGGGGAAGGAAGGGGAAAUCAAAGAAAUGGAUGUGAGAGAAAACAACUGAAGAACUGAAAUUUGGGUUUGAAAAAAGGGCAAGAUGUAGGAGGAAAAGAAAGAAGAGCUGGUAAACGGCGAAAGACACCGGACAAAGAGGUCUUGACCUUACAAUCCGACAGCCAUAGACAACGGAAGGGCAGGUCAUAGACAUAAUGAAAGGAGAAGAGAAGAAAAAUGAAGAAGAGAAAGGAGGAUGUUAUGAUCCCACAUUGACUACACUUAUGGGAGUGUAGGGGUUCUUAAGUCCUUGGGGUCCUCCCACCUAUUGGACUAGUCUUUUGGGUUAGGCUCUUCCUUUGGGCUUGAGUACCUAACAUUGGUAUCAGAACCUAGGUGCCCGAUGCUGCGGGUCUUGGUGACGUGACGUGCCGCCUCGUGAUUACCGCCUUGGGAGUAUGGGCUCCAAGGGACUUGGUGACGAGGGACUGGGCGACGUGAUUACUGCCGUGGGCGUCGGGUCUUCCGAAGGGUGGUGUAAUGUUAUGAUCCCACAUUGACUACACUUAUGGGAGUGUAGGGGUUCUUAAGUCCUUGGGGUCCUCCCACCUAUUGGACUAGUCUUUUGGGUUGGGCUCUUCCUUUGGGCUUGAGUACCUAACAUUUAUUGUUAUGAACCCAAUUUGUAAUUGAGGUUUAUGCUUAAAGUAAAGAGUCAAAUUAGUUGUAAUUGAUGGUUUUUACUGGUUAUUAGGGGAAUUUGAUAGAAAUGCCAGCUGGCAGUCACACUUCAUGUAUAAGAGCACAUGCUCUUUGGUUUGAAACGGAACAGAAUUUAACAAAACAAAUCAAUACAAAAAUAUUGGAGCUCUGCUCCUUCUAUCUUCCUCCUUCAUUCCCUUCUAUGUGCAAUAGUUAAGGUUUGAGUUAGGGUUUAAGAUUUGGGUUCUAACAAUGGUAUCAGAGCCUAGGUGCCCGACGAUGCGGGUCUUGGUGACGUGACGUGCCGCCUCGUGAUUACCGCCUUGGGAGUAUGGGCUCCAAGGGACUUGGUGACGAGGGACUGGGCGACGUGAUUACCGCCGUGGGCGUCGGGUCUUCCGAAGGGUGGUGUAAUGUUAUGAUCCCACAUCGACUACACUUAUGGGAGUGCAAGGGUUCUUAAGUCCUUGGGGUCCUCCCACCUAUUGGACUAGUCUUUUGGGUUGGGCUCUUCCCUUGGGCUUGAGUACCUAACAUUGGUAUCACCCAUAUCAAUUCCUGGAUUCCCUUCUGUGCACACCCGCCAAUCCGCUGCUACUUGCGACAUUGCCUUGGAAUCCCGUCUUGCUUCCUUGGAGGCUUGCGUCGCUGCUUUACCUUCCCUCAUCACCGCUGCGAUCGACCAGGCCUUCGCCGACUCUCUUACACAAUUUCGUCGCGACAUGUUCUUUCAAGGUGCCGGGGAAGGUAUCUCUGCCCCUUUUGCAAGCGAUCAUCAUGGUUCUCCUGCAAUUGAUCUGAUUCAGCUAACUCGGAGCCCAAUCUGCGCUGAAGGAGCCCAAUCGCAGCUUAGUCCGUCGGCAGUCCAAGCUCCACCGCUGCUUUCAUCUUCACCGUUGUUGCAAGCACUUGCAACUUCGGCCGUCAAGCCACACUCGAAGGACUCCGCUGCAACUACAGUUUUGCGUCCGGAAUCGAAAGCAGGGAUUCAUGUUUCAACGAUAACCUCUGCUCUGCGGCUACUCCAUGAGCACUCGUUCUCUGAUACUACGAAAAAUAGACCUGAGGUAGUUCUUAAUUUGAGUAUCAUUUCAGCAACUUCGGAGGCUAAAUUCCCUUCUCUUUUGACUGAUAACUAUGGUGCAUACCUGAAAGAUAAAUUUGGAUGGGUUCAUUGGUAUCUUGUGGGAAAAUUUGUGAAGAAGAAUUUAUGUGCAUUGAAACUGUUUAUGAAAUGUCUAAGAGACAGAAUGACAAUAUGUUCAUUCAGCCACUGGUUGAAGUUCUCCAUCUUGACUAUCUUGCCAUCCAGCUCCAUUAUUUUGACUUAAAUUGCUACCUUGGUUUUGAAUAUGGAAGUACAAUUGUUUUAGGUAGAGCUUUUGCUUGUUCAUCUGGUUUUAGUCAGAAGCCUAUGUUUGGAGCUUUUGGGUCCAAUCUUGCUCAACCAAGUCCUUUUGAAAGUCCAACUCAAACAUCACAGGCAGCAUUUGGGGGCAGUAUAAUUGGUUCCUCCACGCCAAUUGGUGACAUAUGCUACUGUAAUGGCAUUUGGGAUAAGGGUGGAGGCUCUCAAUUCAACAAAAUGCAAUUGAAGAUGGCGGUGGCUCGAAUAAAGCUGCUGAGGAACAAAUGGCAGGUGGUAGUAAAGCAAAUGAGGCGUGCCAUUGCCUUGCUCCUACAAUCUGGUAAAAAUGCUACUGCUCGAAUUCGGGUUGAACAUGUGAUUAGAGAACAUAACACUUUGGCUGCCAAUGAGUUCAUUGAGCUCUUCUGUGAAUUAGUAGUAUCUAGACUUUCUAUCAUCGCAGAGCCAAAGGAGUGUCAGCCUGGUCUCAAAGAAGGAAUUGCUAGUUUAAUCUUGGCCUCUUCUAGGUGUUCUGAGAUUUUGAAACUGAUCUCACUAAGGCAUAUUUUUUAGGAAAAGUAUGGUAAAGAUUUGUAUCUGCGGCUGUUGAUGUACGUCCCUGCUGUGGUGCGAAUCACAUGUUGUGGUGUGAAGGAGGACAUAUGCGGUUUGUAGACUCAGCUUCAAAAUCUGCCAGUUAUGCAAUGGCUGCUGCACAAGUUGCUGCAUAUUUGGCCAACACGGACUGCAAUCAGGACAUUAAUAUUGUAUCUCUCAAGAAAAUAAAAGAAGCUUCCCCAUUGAGUUUGAUAGUUUCCUUACGAUCGAUAUGUGAGGGCAGAUUUCAAUCUCUUGACCAGUUUCUAUCUCGUGAAUAUUGUAUAUCUCUUGCUGACAAUAUAGAAAGUAAAGUCAAGGUGAGGGAGGAAGGUUAUUCUCAACUCUUUUCUGAAGUGCAUAAAUUUGCUGAUGUGAUUUCCGAAUUCAACAAUAUGGUUUCUGCAAUUCCAGCGAUGGUUACACAGUCUGAUGAGCUUAAGCUUAAGUUCGAUGAAGGGUCCACAAUGAGCAAGCUUUGGAUUGUGAAUGUGGGUGGUAGUGAGAGUCUAGCAAAAACUGAAGUUCUAGGGGAAAGCCUUAAGGAAGCUCAAAACGUCAAUAAAUCUCUUUCAGCUCUUGGGGAUGUGAUCUCAGCUUUGUCAAGAAUUAAGGCUUUGAACUGGGUGGGACAUGUGGAUGAAGACAAUGCCAAGGCCAUAUCCUUGUUUGAGAAUGUAGUGGACCUUAGUGAUGCUAUUGAAGAUGAAGUCAAGUGGGUAGAGAAUCUGAUUAGAGGAAUAGUUGCUGGAAAUAUAUUUGAUCUUGGUAAUGCACAGCUUGCAGAAGUUCUCUCAAAGAAGGGUAUGUCCUUUUUAGUUACUUGUCAAAACCUUAUCCCUCAACCUUGGGUUAUCGAUGACUUAGACGUGGCAAUGGUUGUGUGUGUAAGAUCUGCGUGCAGGCAUUCAGGUGCAUUAGACCAUGGAAUAAUGGUGUACUCUGCCUGCUCUAUAAAUUCACUUGGAAAUGAAGAUGUGGUUGCUGAGAUUUUGCGGAGAGGUGGUGGGGCUCUUCACGGUAUCAAAUUACAAGGAAUAUCAACGUCCAUUGAAGAUAAGAGCAAGAAAAAGAACCAUCUUGUCUUCUUAGAUAUAUCAAUUGAUAGGGACCUUGUGGAACAAAGCAAGAAGAAGAACCUUCAUGUCUUUUUAGAUAUAUCAAUUGAUAGGGACCCUGUGGAACAACUUGUUAUUGAGUUUUUUGUUGAUGUUGUUCAUCAGACAACAGGGAAUUUCAGGGCUCUCUGUACAGGUGAUAAGGGAUCAACAUGUCAUCGAGCAAUAAAUGGUGGUGAGAACAACAUCAAAUGUGUGGUCAGAAUUUAUCCAAUGCUUGAAAUGGCAAACAUUGCUGAUGUGCAGGACUUGAGUUUUAUUAUGGAAUUUGGGAAUAAAAGUGAUAUGGUGCUGAAUAUUUUGCAGCCUAGCCAUAAUGUUGUGAGAAAUGACGCUAUGGACCAAGAAGGUAAAGGAACAAAUGGAGUUGAGCCUCAUGACUUACGACCCAUUAUAUUUGAGUUACCUCUCCUUGAUCCUGAGGAAGUCAACAAUGGUGUGCUUGAGGUGUCUGAACUAAAUGCUAUGGCUGAGAAGGUAAUUGCAGUGCGGAAUAAACAAGUAGCUAUUGAUGGUGAGGUUGUUGCUAUGACUGUUGAUGGAGUGAAUGAUGCACCUACUUUGAAACUUGCUGAUAUUGGGAUUGCAAUGGACAUUUCUGGAACUGAAGGAGAAUGCUGCUGCGUUCAAACAAGUUUCCACAGUUUCUUUUUUAAGCCUUGAGGACAAGGCUAAUUUUCAAGGGGGAAAUAUUGUUAUGAACCCAAUUUGUAAUUGAGGUUUAUGCUUAAAGUAAAGAGUCAAAUUAGUUGUAAUUGAUGGUUUUUACUGGUUAUUAGGGGAAUUUGAUAGAAAUGCCAGCUGGCAGUCACACUUCAUGUAUAAGAGCACCUGCUCUUUGGUUUGAAACGGAACAGAAUUUAACAAAACAAAUCAAUACAAAAAUAUUGGAGCUCUGCUCCUUCUAUCUUCCUCCUUCCUUCCCUUCUAUGUGCAAUAGUUAAGGUUUGAGUUAGGGUUUGAGAUUUGGGUUCUAACAGAGGACUACUUGCCAACCCCAACCAAAGGAAGGAGUCGGCGGCGAAGAGUUGGGGGAUCUUUGCGAGAGAGAGAAAAAGGGGCGGCUAGGGUUUUUGCGUAUGGAAGAGGGGUAUCGGAGUAGAUUUGUUUGAAAAUGUUUUUAGAGAAAAUAUUUUUAGGUUUCAAAAACAUUUAAAGUGCUUUAUGUAGUCAUUUAGCACCACGAUCUAAUAGUAUCCUUCUUCACUUGUAAGUGAGAAAUCUUAGGUUCGAUUCUCGCCAAAGGCAAAUAUGAACCACAUUAUUGCUAGUCCAUUGUGAGGCUAAGCCAAACCUCUUCCCUCUUAGUGUAGAUAAAAUCAUUUGUUAAAAAAAAAAAGUACUUCCUGCAGGAAACACAAGUGUUUCUUACCAUAAUCACUUUAAGUGCUUUUCAAAUAUUCAUUUGUAUUUUUACUAAGAAUUGGUUCCAAAAACAAUUUUUACCAGAAACGCUUUCAGUCAUUUUAAAAGCACUUACAAUCGAGACCUAAUUAAAAGAAAAUGAAAGAAACAAGGGUAAAAUGGGAAAUUAAAAAAUGAAACGACAAAAGGAAAAGCAACUAAUCAAGUGUGGUCUACCAUGUGAAAUUCCACCAGAUAAAAUAAAGCAAAGCAAGAGAGCCAACAGUACAGCAAAAUGAUUACACUCUAGAGACAGCAGACCUACUUCCAUUACAAAAAUUAACACACAUGAUGAUUUUCAAGUCAUGGACCCCACACCUCUUGUCCCAAUCAAAGGAUGGAGCUGCUCAAGAAUUGUGAUUGACAAGUGGAAAUCCAUCCAGAAGAUCAAAACCUUAUGAACCUACAAGACGGAGAAGGAUUUUCAUGCAACGGGAAUGCCAUUAUAACAGUAUCUCAAGCUAACUACACUGCACGGCUGGCUGGCUCGGGAUACUGCUCUAGUGGCAUCCCCGUAGUUGUAGAUUUCUCUCCAUAUAGGGACAACAGUUCUCAGAUGUAUUUACAGGGGCAAAUUGAAGAAUAUGUAGAAUUUUUUCAAGCUCAGACUGCGCCUAACAACCGAAACAUGACAAUGGACGAAACAGCAAGGAGGAACCAUGAGAUGAAAGCAAAGGCAACGGCAAUUUGGAACCUGCUGCAUGGAAGAUGAAUUGGCCUGCUGCAGUAAUUCAAAUCUCUCGAGUACAGAACUGUCACCCCCGCUGAUGAGCAUGCAGCGGCUAAUGACAGAGUAGACGUCACCUGCAUUUUUCAUUUUUGUUAAACAUGAAUUAGUUGAUAAGGAAAUUGCUUCGGUUUUUAUACACCGAACCAUAAACAGAAUCAAAACUCUGAAGUAAACAAUCUGUUAGUAGUGAUAGUGCAAUAGCUACAAGAAACGGUUAAAGCACAAUGAAACCUUUCAUUUGGGAAGGUGAUACUUUCUUUCCAGAAAAUUUUAGUAAAUAUCAUGUUGUAGUCUUAAGUGUAGCAAAGGAUCACCCGAAAAGCUUUAUUCAUUUCUAAGUUAAUCAGUAUCCUGAAGAUCACACAACGGAAUUGAAGUUUUCGACUGACCAUGUUUUCUCAAACAUUUUUCAGCUACUUAGUUGUCCCGAUGAUCCAACAUUUGUUCCACGUGAUCAGAAUAAGUUUCAAUUAAUAAGUGCAUAAAUUCUCUGAAAACUUCUCCCAACAUCUCCAGUCCAUCAGAAAUAAUGCAUAACCCUUAAAAUUAACGAUGACACACACACUUGUUUCUGAAAACUAAAUGCGAAAAACAAUCCAUAAAUAAAUGAAGAAACUUACCCAAUCCCCAACAACAAAUAGGCUCACUAAAAUGGGAUUCUGCAAGCUUCUCUUUGACCUCAAAGCAUGUAAAUCAAGGCAAGCAAGUCCAAAACUCCAAACAACUUGAAGCCCCAUUGAUGCAAUUAAAUAGCUGCAUCCAAAUAAAUGCAGGUAAGAAUUAUACAACUAUUCAAACCUAGAAGCAUGUAAACUUCAAACCAUUUAGUGGAAAGGAAUGCGACUCUAUGCACCUUAAAAGUUAGGCUCACAAAUAACACUUCCAAGUUCUAUGAACACAACUGAUCAAUAAAUUGAGGUGGGAAGGUGUUACUACUUAUCAGAACACAUACAAACUAAGGAAAGGCUUUAUGAACCGAAAAUCAAUUAAACACACGUUAACACGUGAAAACUACAUGGUCACAAUAUCUCAAGAAACUUCUUCAAACCUCUCUAUAAGUGGGAGAAAUGAAAUCAUCGUAGGGGAAGAAAAUCAUUAGCUACCAAGGAAGCAGAAUGGUACGGAAAUCCAGAAUGAUAGGAAAGACUUCAUUGACUUGUGGUUAUGUGAUAGAGAGAAAGAGAGAGGGGUUAUUGGGAUGACGUUUAGGAAUGCUGCAAAGAGAAUUAUAGCUUCAAUUCGCCAUUGUCACCGUACAAAGACAUCUUAUGAUGUUCAGGUUUCUGCAAACAAAAUAAGGUGGAAUAAAAUACGAUUUUUUAUUCCUAUGUGGAAGGUAUAGGUUCAAUAGGAGGAGAUUCUUAUACUUAACAUGUACAGAUUUAAGCUCAGAGGUCAACCAUAGAAAAACUCAAGAACCAAGCAUACAUUAGUAAAUGAUUAGCUUAACAUUUUACGACAAUACCUUGGUAAGUGAAUAAAUAAGAGCGAAAACAAGGUUAAGGCCAACAACAUGAAAUUUGCUUUUACCACUUUCAGAACCAUUAACCACAUCUCUAAAUACUAGGAGACUUAAAUUUGUUCUCCUUUACUUCCUCCUCAUUAAUUUCUAUGUAAUUGGUGAAGAGAAACGCUAAGAAGACUCUCUCAAAAGUGGAACUCUCCGUACUCUCUCUCACCUCAUAUUUUUUGCAGUAUUUUAUAAUUUUUUGGCACGGAAAUUGCGUUAAACUGUGGGGUGGCAGAGAAUCCAAGUCUCCUUAGCAUUUUUCAAUUGGUAAAACUUAGCAAGGGAAUCCGAUCCACACCACUUUCCUUUCUAAUUAAACCCUUUUUUUUUCCAUUAAUAGAGAAUCCCAACCGGGUUAAAUUUUGCUACAAAUUGAACAAAUCCGAAAUCGAUCAAUAAAAACUCAACCAUUUCAAAAUACCCACCAGGGGAUAACAGAAUCUACGAAAGUUUUCUUGUAAAAAAUGUAAAAAAACAGAAAGACAUAAUAAGAAGGGGAAAACAAAAUACCAAAAUGCAGUGGCAUUGAAGAAUCCAUGAGCAGAAAGCAUCACCCCAAUAGCAGCGGCAGCAAAACAGCACUGCCCAAUUCUCAGUGCCAGCCCACUCACCUUCCCUGGGCUCCCAAACAGCUUCUUCAUCCCUUCCCUCCACUCUCUCUCUCUCUCUUUCUCUCUCUCUCUCUCUAAGCUCAAGGGGACCGUUUUCUGAGUCCUACAGAUGAGCCCUAACUUUCAUAUAAUUCCACCAUUAACGCAAUAAGAGCUAAAGAACUCAACUUUUGGAGGGGAGGCUUAAAAUGUGGGAUCUUCAGAGAUAAAGUUGAGAUUUUGAGUUGAAGAAGAAAAAGUGGAAUGGGAUGGCAGGAAUGGAAUGCUCUCAUCAUCUCUCCGAGAGGCUGCUUUAUCUCUCUCUCUCUCUCUCUCUCUCUCUCUCUCUCUCUCUCAUGGGUCUCUCUCUCAUUGGUCCUCCAUCAAAUAUAAAAUAUAGUUAGAUUUGGGCCCUCAAUGUGAAGAAAGUAGAAGAAAAGAAUUGUAUUCUUGGAGGAGCCCAAUAGGUAGAUUGCAUUUUAUAUGAGCCCACUCAAUUGUUUUUUUUGGAUAUUAUUAUAUCUCUUACACAUCAUUGUUAAUUUUUAAUCAUUGAUUUUCUUCAAUUUCUCUGAUUUGACGUCCAAAAAGUGAAAGAGACGAGUGAGAAAUGAAAAUGGGCGUGUAUCUUACCCAUUCUUUUUUUUUUUUUUUGUGGAGAAGAAGGAAUCAAAUUUGAGACAUCAAUAGCAUGUUUACGAGACUGUAAUCAGAAUCAAAUUGCGGAAUUAGAUUCUGAUCACGAGAUAUACUUUCGUUUAUAAACUUGGGAAUUCAAUUCCUCGUUUUGAAGGAAUUUGACUCCAUAAAACAUUGGUCGCAAAAGUCUAUACGAUAGAUGAGACCGCAGAGAACCAACACCCACCUCACUAUAAAAGCCACCGACUUCAACGCAUUUCAACCCUAAACCUCUCAAGGAGUCAAGAGAGAAAGCCCUGUUUCUAAAGCCCUAGCUAAACCCUCGCCUCGCUUCUCCUCCAAACCAAAUGGCUUUCACUUCAAUUCUCCGCCGAUCGGCCUCCUCCCUGGCCCCACUCGCCAGCCGCCUUGCUCGUGGCCAGCGGUCUUACCACGGCGCUGUUGCCACCGCCGUCAACCACUUCAAUUUCUCCCGAAAGCACACUCAGCCGACCCCUUUCGUUCUCACCCCUCGAUACUAUUCGAGCCACAGUUCGGACCAGUCUCUGAUCAGGGUGAUCGAGUCGGAGAUCAAGUGCGCUGAGGAGACCGAGGAUCUCGACAAGGUGAGGUUUUUUUAGUUAACUUUCUCCUGCUUUGUGGACUGUUUGGUUUCCGAGAAAAUUUGGGGAAAUGGGCAAGAAAAUGAGGUUGUGGGUUGUGGGUUGUGGUGGCUCUGUUAUGUUUGGUUUCGCGGAUUAUGAAAACCCCAUCUCAAUUAAAUUGAAUAAUCGUGCUUGGGAACUGCUAGUUUGAAGUGAAUUGCAGAAAUUGAAGGGUUUCUUGAGUUAGAGUUAAUAUUUCCUUAAUUUAGUUCAUAUUUCCUUAUGUUCGUUUACUUGGUUUUGAUUUGCCCCUUGAGAUGUAUAUAUUUCGAAAAAUUGUUUCUUGUAAAAGAACUACAUGAUCUUCUAAUGUUAGUAAUGGAUGUUGGAUAUUUUGUUUAUGUUGGUAUUUGUUCAUGGAUUGUGUGAGUGUUUUCGCUCGUGGUUCGAUUCAGCAGUAGAUGUUUGUAUGUGUGUGUGUGAGAGAGACUUUUAAAAAA